GUGUGCCCACUACAGGAAACCACGACGCCACGCCUCACAGUUUUGCCCCACAAAAAGUGCCUCACGUGGGAAAGGAGGAGUCCACACUUUUAAGCAGUAGACACUCUUGACUGUAAUCGGUAUGGAACUUUCGAGGUUCAACCUCUCGAUGCCCGGCCCACAACAAAUCCUGUUGGAGAUAAUACAAUCGACCCUGACUCUGAUCCUAUAUC
This 212-nucleotide long non-coding RNA is filed under the name Elaeis guineensis (African oil palm). Its description in RNAcentral is "long non-coding RNA (EGUI_LNC029009)". The record is from RNAcentral. Lineage: Eukaryota; Viridiplantae; Streptophyta; Magnoliopsida; Arecales; Arecaceae.